Long non-coding RNA from Grus americana (Whooping crane), 4906 nucleotides. RefSeq lists it as uncharacterized. The record is from RefSeq and is a predicted model, not a curated record. The transcript has 2 exons. NCBI's taxonomy places the organism in Eukaryota, Metazoa, Chordata, Aves, Gruiformes, Gruidae.
GGGAGCCUGAGGCGGGAGGGGGGCGUCCGGCCCCGGGCCAUCGGGUCCCUGCUGGGGUCUGCGCCUGGGCCUGCUGACUGCACGGCCUCUAGGAGCGUGUGCCCCAUAGCCCCUUCGGGAACGGAGGUUCCAGGGGCUGCCCAGCCUUCCCAGGCUCCCGCUGAGGCUCCUCUGGACGAUGAGUGUGGCAUUUGUCUUUUUCCAGUUGUCAGGAACAUCUCCUAAUCACCAUGACCUUUCAAAAAAUGAGAGAGCGGCUUCAGAAUGAUGUCAUAGUCUCGUUGCCGCUAGACUGCAGGUUUAAAAUGCAGGGGUGCUGUCCUCUCAUCUUGAUAGAGAGUGGAAGCGCUAAUGGCACAUGCAGGGUGGUAUCCUGAUCUUAGCUGUGCACUGCCUUGCCUCCUGUGGCUGUCUCUGCAACCUGGGAAGAACUCCAUCGCUCUGCCUCUCCUUUCAGAGCCUCGGCUUUCCGGUGUCUGCUAGUGAUAAGUGACAUCCCUGGAACUUUGGCUACAAAAGAUCCACACAGCUGGGAAAUAUCGAUGCCUGAUACUUUGGAUCCUAAUCCUAAAUGACACUUGUUAAUGUGCUCUGUUAAUACUUGUCUUUGUUUUUAAAGAAAAACUCAGCUUUAUUUUUCCUAGAUUGGGGUGGCGGGAACUGAACGAUGAAAGAGACAAUGUCCACUAACGUGUAUUUUCAUUGAGAUGCUUUCUAAAAUAUGUUUAAAAUCCAGUGAAGAGAAGCUAGGCUUUCUUUAGACCUGUUGAUAGUUUGUCACAUAAUACCUUUGUGCUACCAGUUUGAACAGGAAAUAUGUUUAUUUCCCUAUAAAUAUGUUUAGCUUUGUCCAAAUAACUCUAGUUUCCUGUUAAGAUUUCCUCAGCCAGGGUGUGCCAUAAACUGUUUUAGAAGGAACGAUGCUGCCUGGAAUUGAACAGGGAUAAUGCAAGCCGUGGAAGGAAAACAGAAAGCCACCACAACAUUAAUUCUAAUUUGUUUUGGUUAAACUGUAAUUCAGUGAAAUGCUGACGCUGUAUACUCAGUGCAUGAUACCCUAAAGAGUGUCCUUAUCCACACUUCAGUUUGCUUCUGAAGACCUCCAGCCAACCAUUUUUUUUCCACAUGUCUGUUCUAGAAUGUAAUCUCUAAAGCAGACUUUAAAAUCUGUAAUUAUAAGUUGAUCUGUUCACUCUAUGAUAUGAUCUUUAUUUGUGUUGUAGUAAUUUAUUUCUUUGUUUCCCUGUAGGGUACUGUUGCUUGACCAAAAGGUACAUGUAGAAGUAGAAGUCAUGCUACUUACCAUAAUCUGCCCAUCUGUGAAUAUCGCUGUAGUUUCUGCCAAUGCAUUUAAAAACUUUUGUCCAUACCUGUGGGUUAUCUGGUGACUCAAAUAAUCCUGUCCUCCAUACAACAGUAUAACAGUGGAAUUUUGACUGAUAACUUUUGGAUGUAGAAUCAUUGCUUUCUUUAGUUAAAAACGGUUUGUAGAAGUAUUUUCAACAUCUGAUGUAAAAUGAUGGAAAAAUCUUUCCUGUUUUAUGUUGUACAUUUCUGAUUUUGUUUCCCUGUCCAGACCUCACAGGGUAUAGAAAUACCAGAAAGAUUUUAUUUUUUUUAAUGACUUAAGUCUAAGUUUUAUAUUUCAGUACAGAGUGAUUUGCUUAUUUUAUUCUGGUACCUUGCUACAAAAUGAUUUUUUGAAAAUGCUGGAAACAAGCAGUUAAAAAAAGAAAGCACAACAGGUUCUAGUCAUACUCAUUUUUCCACACCUUGAGGACUAGCAAAUUCUUUAAUAUGAGAUUUUAUUUGUACAAAGCAAAACUUCAAAACCUUUCAAAAGCUUUCUUAUUAACUGCUGUCAGUCCUUUGAUUUACAAGGGCAAUAAAGAUCUAGAGGGGGCACAUUUAUCAUGGAGUUCAGCACACCAGGAGCCAUUUUCUCAAGCGGUAAAGCCAAGUGAUAAAAUGAAUUCUUUUGUUCUAUAACCAAGACACAUUCCCUAUUUUUAAAAAUGUGUGUGCUGGACUUCUUGGCUUGUAGUUUGGCUGUGUUCCUGUAAUACAUUUAUAAAUAAUGAAAAAUUGCUAACAUGCAGAUGCUGAUGAUGCAUCUGGAAAAACAGACUGAAAGAAAGAAACUUACUUUCAACUUCGGUUUGUUUGCUAACUUUUUCUCCAGUGCUAAUUCUUGUACGAUUUUUUUAAUAGCUCUUUUUAAACUGGAGUGUUUGGGGUUUUCCCCCCUUUUUUAAAAAAAAAAAAAAAAGAAAAAAUGAUAUACCUCUCUGCAAAGCUGAAAGAAUUCUGGUUAGGAAUAAAAAUACUCUAUUUAAAAUAGAGCCAUGUUCCUAGGGUAUAGUGCUAUUUUGCAAGCUUCAGCUGCUUCAUCUGUUUCUAAACUCGAGUGACUUUUUGAGUGUUGUUCUUUAAUGUUAGAAGAUAGAAGCUAAAUUUUUCUUGUCUAGACCAAACUAUUAAUGGCUUGUAUGGGCAUUUCAUUAACAGACAUAGCUGUGUGGGAGGAACUGAUUGCAAGAGUAAAUAUCCUCGCAUGUGAGCCACGGGCUCAGAAUCUGACUCUAAAUUGAAUAUUAAACAAAGCGAAUUCUGUUUUUACCAUAUAAAAAUGCUGCCACCUACAGUCUCCUCCUGGAAGAGUGAUGCGUUGCCGCUUUCACCAGUCAGCGGCCGAAAGCUCUGUGAAGUCCAGUUCUGCUCAGCUCUCCAGUGUUGUUGCACAGGCACCUUUGAAAUAGAAGUAGGAGAACAGACUUGCAAAAAGUACUUUCCAAUAUAAUUUUGACUAAAAUAAUCUUUAAUUGUUAACCUAAAACUUUGUGUGAAGUUGCUCUUGAUGGCUUGCCUUUGACUGGGCUGCUGUCAUAACAUAUGGAGGAGUGAGACUGACAAAGGUCAGAGGCAUUAAACUUUGUUCAUAUUUAAAUCAGCACCGCGCUCUGGUGCCCGGGGAACUACAGCAGUGCUGCGGCAGUACCCGUUGUCCCCAGGUUAUGCCAGGGGUGAUGGAUGGGCUUGGGAGGCGUUUUGGACAAUAGCUGUUUCUUUGGUUUUAUUCUUGGUUUCUUUUGUAGACAGACCUUUAAGAAAAGCCAUGCUGUAAGCAGAUUGCACUCAUAGCAAAGUUAGCGCGUAGCUCUCGAAUGGGGCGGUUUAUGAACAAAAGCACUGAACCAAAGGUACAUAUAUACCGGGUUUGCUAUGCUUGCUUUGACUGUGGUCAGCAGCAGGUUUGUAGAUAAGUGUUUGUUAGAACAGGGCAAACGUACAGUGGCAUUGUCACAAUAAGAAAUGUGGAACAGCACAGGUCUUGCCAAGCCUAUUUAUCGAUCCUAAGUAAAGCCUCUUCAGCUGUACAAGGUGUGUGUGGGACAAACAAUUUUUCAUUCACCGUAUUCUACGUUAUGUAGUUUGGAAGUAGGGCUUGUACUACUAUCACCCUGAAUCAUGUGCCCACGAAAGCACAUUACUGAAAAAUUAAAGAAAAUGUUUCUUGGUGAGUGACUCGUAGUAGUGAUUUAUCCAGAAGGAAGCAGCUAUUGCAACAGCGAAAAGACCCCACCGUAACUGCUGCACUAGCUUCUGUGAAGCUAAGGCUUCGGUUGACCUAUCGUGGCAGUCAUCUCUAGCGCAGGGAUUUUGCAGAUCUCUUUGCUGUAGUUUUGUGCUGGUGUGUGAAAUUUAGAAAGAAAAGACGUAGUCUAGGAGGCCUGCCUUUUUGCAUAGCUGUAUAUGUUACUUCUGAUACUUAGAUUGCAAAACCUUUAGUCUCUGAUAUUUAAGGUCAGAAAUUAUAAGUUUUGUCUGUGUUUGGUUUUUUUUAAACCCUGGGGCCUCUUAUACUGCAGUGUCUUGAAAGAUCCUGAAGCUUUGAGGGGGAAAAAAAAUUGAAAUACUUUAUUUUAUGAAGCAGUUUUGGGGUCAGUUUUUCUAAAAUGAAUGCUUUUAUGUUGGAUAGUUUAAAGACCAUCUGUUAACUGAAACCAACCGUAAGUGAAGUUGCAGUUAUGUUUCCUAUUAGUCUUGUAUCUUUCCUAUUAGUCAUGUAUGAAAGAAUACAGAGACGUCCAACAGAACUCAAAACAAAAAUUGAAAAAGCAGAUGUUGAAACUGUUGGCUUGUUGCUUUUCUUUUACAGGAGCAAGUAAUUAUUAAUGGAUGACAAAAAUACUAUGAGACUGGUUUUGUAAACUGUUACCUAGAAUCACAGCUAAGAUGUAUUUCUGAUUAUUGUAUAUUGCAGUUGAAAAUUGGAGUAUUUCACUUGGAAAUGCUGAAGAGGGUUUUAAAAAAAUAGAUCAUGGAUGUUAUGUCUGGAAGCAUACAAUGAAAGAUAAAAUAGAAAAUUUUAAAUAGUUCUGCACUUCUAGUCUCUCAGGGCUCAUUUAUUAUGUUGUCAUGGUGAGCAAGGAAUAAAAAAAUAAAAUAAAAAGGCUGUUCCUUGGGUAGUUGUGACUUAUUGGUAGUUAUCUUUUACAAGAGUUCCAUGCUGACUUAAGUAAAGAUCUCUGAGAAAAAAAACAAACUUUAUUUUUCAAAUAAAUUCAGUAAGAGCUCACAGCCUUCCAUGACACCACACUGAAUUAUUGUUAGUGUACACUGCUGUGAGAAUAACUCUCACCGCUGUUUAACAACAAUAUCUUUCCAUGGAAUUUCAGAAAGUCAGUAGGAAAAUGAAAGGCAGAAUUGAGUGCUGAAGCAGAAUUAAACCAGUCCAUCCUGAAGCCAAGAUACUUUCAUCAUUACUUCUGUAAGGAAGAAGAAGAAGAAGAAUUAACAUGUACUGUACAUGCAGGUCCAUAUGAUUUGGUUGAAAAAUUCUUAAUGGCUUGUGUAUGUUAGGCAGGAGGUCCUCUCUUGCCUGAAUAAAAUCUCCUUAUGUAUA